This 431-nucleotide ribosomal RNA is filed under the name Ummidia sp. MY2042. Its description in RNAcentral is "partial 16S ribosomal RNA". It matches the Rfam family "Bacterial large subunit ribosomal RNA", at positions 1864 to 2600 of the family's 2925-position model. Lineage: Eukaryota; Metazoa; Arthropoda; Arachnida; Araneae; Ctenizidae. The record is from RNAcentral.
CGAUAAACGCAUCAUAUUUAGUAAGACCUGAUCAAAGAACAAUUUAAAUAGCCGUGAAUCCGUGCUAAGGUAGCAUAAUCAAUUGCCUUUUAAUUAAAGGCUAGAAUGAAAGGCCUAACAUAUAGAAUCCUUUAUUGUUCUGUUUACUUUAAUCUCAUUUAUAGAUAAAAAGUCUAUUUGCAUCAGGAAGACAACAAGACCCUAUUGAACUUUACUUUCAGUUUCACUGGGGAGGUGAAUAAAACAAAACUUUUUCUAUUGUUACAAAUUAUAAUUCUGAAAGAAAUAUGAACAAGUUACCAUAGGGAUAACAGCACGAUCUCUUUUAGGAGAUCUUAUCUUAAAAGAACAUUAUGACCUCGAUGUUGAAUAAAUUUCUUCUAAACGAAGAAGUUUAACAAGAAAGUCUGUUCGACUUUUAAUACUUUUCA